CAUUAUUGAUGUACAAACGUUAUUGAUACAGGAAGUGACAGACAGUUCUUCUGUUGUGUCAGAUCGUGUUCAAUAUAAAUAUUUGCAAUGUUAUUAAAAGAUGGUCAAGUAGACCUAUCACAUUGAUUGAGUUUGAACAACUUCUUCACGCACCUCCUUGCAAUGCUGACUUGCACCACGAAUGCUGUCUUCCCACAAAGGCGACUGAUGAGGUUUUCUUUAAACAAACACCGUUAAUGAAGCUGACAUCUGCAGGAAACCAACAACUAAAUGAAUGCAAGAAGCAACAUCCCAUCUCAGCCUUCCCACUGUCAGUCACACACAGCAUCUCAAAGACAAUACCCAGCCACCACAGGCAGGCACGCCGGACGGGUAGUGUGUCUACUGAAGCCUUCCAACCACCAGUCAGUGUUGUCAAGGCGAUAUACAGUUGAUGUGCUGUAAAUUGAUUUCCGGGGAGAUGUGAUGGAUGAAUGGAAAAUGAACAUCUUCAUCGGUGACCCCUCCGCGCCGUCGUCUCGAUUGCUUCUCCCCACGCCCGCCCAUGAUUGACAAGCGCGCUAACGAGCGCUGUCGCCGGUCAUGUUCUAAUUUCCCUGUGUGGAAAACACGGCGAGUCUCCGGCCCUACGGUAAUGAGCCCUACAAAGAGAAGGAGAGGACAGAAAGAAAGACUCGCCCCGAAGAGAUGGAAGACGGAAUGAAAGAAGUCCAAGUAAAUAAGAUAGAAAGGACCAACAUGAAAGUAGAUUAAAAAAGUUGAGAUUAUUACCGGCAAGGGAAAGGGGCAUGUCAUUGUUUAUCUGUCUUCUACUGUGAUGGAUGUCUUUCUUACUGGCGGUUUCAGCUACAACCUCAACUUAAUGGAUUCCUAGAGUGGGCUGGGAUUUCAAAAGACAAAAUGAGUCUUGGCGUAAUGAGCGGAUGUUAUAUAUUUGAUAUAUUGUAAUUGAUAUAGAGUGGCAGAGUGUGGUCCUCAUUGGACUUUAACGUCUCCUUCAACGCAGACGAGAGCUUCCUUCUAACUUUACUGUUGAACACAAACACCAAUCAAGGUGAUCACAAUUACAGGAAGACAAAGAGAGCAGACUUUUAAACUCUCAACUAAACUUAAUCGAUAUGAUGGAACGCAAGGUCAUAAAGCCAGGUAGCUACGUUUUAAGCACAAAGCUAUAUUGGCAUACCGAGUAGAGACAGAGAGUGUGUGAGAGAGAGUGUAAUGUUUACUGUUAAUUUGUAUUGUUUAUUAUCUACUUGACUUGCUUUGGAAAUGUUAACACAUGUUUCCCAUGCCAAUAAAGCCC
This 1303-nucleotide long non-coding RNA is filed under the name Salmo salar (Atlantic salmon). RNAcentral describes it as "lncRNA (ENSSSAG00000106569.1, ENSSSAG00020083141.1, ENSSSAG00075067808.1)". Lineage: Eukaryota; Metazoa; Chordata; Actinopteri; Salmoniformes; Salmonidae. The record is from RNAcentral.